UCAAAGGUUAGGGGGUUAGGAUGACCUGAAAUAUUCUGCUUUUACAAAAUGUGAUGCUGUUUUCAAAUGAAACACAAUACCUUGCUCUUGUUAAAGCUUUUAG
Salvelinus sp. IW2-2015 is the source of this 103-nucleotide non-coding RNA. The record is from RefSeq and is a predicted model, not a curated record. NCBI's taxonomy places the organism in Eukaryota, Metazoa, Chordata, Actinopteri, Salmoniformes, Salmonidae.